AAACUUAAAGGAAUUGACGGGGACCCGCACAAGCAGCGGAGCGUGUGGUUUAAUUCGUUGCUACACGAAGAACCUUACCUGGGUUUGACAUAUAGGUUGUAGGGAACUGAAAGGGACGACCCUUCGGGGAGCCUAUACAGGUGUUGCAUGGCUGUCGUCAGCUCGUGUCGUGAGAUGUUCGGUUAAGUCCGCUAACGAGCGCAACCCUCGUCGUAUGUUAUAUGUGUCAUACGAGACUGCCGGUAAAAGCCGGAGGAAGGUGAGGAUGAUGUCAAGUCAGCAUGACCUUUAUAUCCAGGGCUACACACACGCUACAAUGGUCUGUACAAUGGGUAGCCAAGCCGCGAGGCGGAGCCAAUCCUGAAAGCAGGCCUCAGUUCAGAUUGCAGUCUGCAACUCGACUGCAUGAAGCCGGAGUUGCUAGUAACCGCAGGUCAGCAAUACUGCGGUGAAUACGUUCCCGGGUCUU
RNAcentral lists this ribosomal RNA (469 nucleotides) under uncultured Anaerolineaceae bacterium. RNAcentral describes it as "bacterial SSU rRNA". It matches the Rfam family "Bacterial small subunit ribosomal RNA", at positions 897 to 1382 of the family's 1533-position model. Lineage: Bacteria; Bacillati; Chloroflexota; Anaerolineae; Anaerolineales; Anaerolineaceae. The record is from RNAcentral.